AGGAAAUAGAUACCCGGGUAGUCCACGCUGUAAACGAUGGGUGCUGGACGUUGGUGGGUUUACCUGCCGGUGUCGCAGCUAAACGCGUUAAAGCACCCCGCCUGGGGAGUACGGUCGCAAGAUUAAAACUCAAAGGAAUUGACGGGGCCCGCACAAGCGGUGGAGCAUGUGGUUUAAUUCGACGCAACGCGAAGAACCUUACCAGCUCUUGACAUGGGAAGUAUGGUCUCUGGCGACGGAGAUCUUCAGUUCGGCUGGCUUCCACACAGGUGCUGCAUGGCUGUCGUCAGCUCGUGUCGUGAGAUGUUGGGUUAAGUCCCGCAACGAGCGCAACCCUCGUCUCCAGUUGCCAUCGGGUUAUGCCGGGCACUUUGGAGAAACUGCCGAUGACAAGUCGGAGGAAGGUGGGGAUGACGUCAAGUCCUCAUGGCCUUUAUGGGCUGGGCCACACACGUGCUACAAUGGCGGUGACAGAGGGCAGCGAAGGGGAGACCCGGAGCCAAUCUCAAAAAGCCGUCUCAGUUCGGAUUGCAC
This 534-nucleotide ribosomal RNA is filed under the name uncultured bacterium. RNAcentral describes it as "bacterial SSU rRNA". It matches the Rfam family "Bacterial small subunit ribosomal RNA", at positions 774 to 1303 of the family's 1533-position model. The record is from RNAcentral.